RNAcentral lists this long non-coding RNA (206 nucleotides) under Setaria italica (foxtail millet). RNAcentral describes it as "long non-coding RNA (SITA_LNC000039)". Lineage: Eukaryota; Viridiplantae; Streptophyta; Magnoliopsida; Poales; Poaceae. The record is from RNAcentral.
AACAUUUUUGACUCAUGGUGCCUCCUUGAACACUCUGCACCUUAAUUGGAUCACAAAAUGUGCAAUUGCUGCUGGGAAUUUCCUUGCUGAAUUGUACAGUUUCUUCUAAGGCCACAUCCAUGGAAGCCGCCAGCAGCAAGAUAUUCCCCAGCUUGCUGCUGAAUCUUGCCUUCUUGUUCUUGCCAUGUCUCUCUGCCGCCGUCUCG